RNAcentral lists this ribosomal RNA (429 nucleotides) under Bacillota bacterium. Its description in RNAcentral is "Firmicutes bacterium partial 16S ribosomal RNA". It matches the Rfam family "Bacterial small subunit ribosomal RNA", at positions 355 to 776 of the family's 1533-position model. The record is from RNAcentral. Lineage: Bacteria; Bacillati; Bacillota.
UGGGGAAUAUUGGACAAUGGGCGAAAGCCUGAUCCAGCCAUGCCGCGUGUGUGAAGAAGGUCUUCGGAUUGUAAAGCACUUUAAGUUGGGAGGAAGGGCAGUAAGCUAAUACCUUGCUGUUUUGACGUUACCGACAGAAUAAGCACCGGCUAACUCUGUGCCAGCAGCCGCGGUAAUACAGAGGGUGCAAGCGUUAAUCGGAAUUACUGGGCGUAAAGCGCGCGUAGGUGGUUCGUUAAGUUGGAUGUGAAAUCCCCGGGCUCAACCUGGGAACUGCAUCCAAAACUGGCGAGCUAGAGUAUGGUAGAGGGUGGUGGAAUUUCCUGUGUAGCGGUGAAAUGCGUAGAUAUAGGAAGGAACACCAGUGGCGAAGGCGACCACCUGGACUGAUACUGACACUGAGGUGCGAAAGCAUGGGGAGCAAACAGG